GCACUGCCGAGGAGUCCCUUAAUAAGACGAAACGGUCGUCCAGUGC
Molecule: non-coding RNA, 46 nt
Organism: Schistosoma rodhaini
Lineage: Eukaryota; Metazoa; Platyhelminthes; Trematoda; Strigeidida; Schistosomatidae
Source: Rfam